This is a long non-coding RNA of Saccostrea echinata, 711 nucleotides long. RefSeq lists it as uncharacterized. The transcript is spliced from 4 exons. The record is from RefSeq and is a predicted model, not a curated record. Lineage: Eukaryota; Metazoa; Mollusca; Bivalvia; Ostreida; Ostreidae.
UUGCACGGAAAACACAGUAUAUAUUCCAGUAAAGGGUUAUAGUUGGGCAAGAAAUAUAGAGAUUGAUGAUGUUAGGUUUCGUGCAACAAUUUCCCAAGCGAUGUCACCUCUGAAUACAGUAUCACGAUGCACUACAUGCUUUCAGUUUCAGAUAAAGGAAGGAAGGUGUUUUAGAGAGAGAUAAUUCCCAAAACAAUGUGAGAUUACAGAUUAUGGAAGAUUGCUGGGCAUUAUGACAAACAAAGGUAUCAAGGAGGAAUAUGAACAAUGUAGGUCAGCAGUCAAAAUCUGUCACCUUAUUCAACUCUUAGCAGCAUGUUCCUAUGGAUCCAGAUGCAUUAAAAGAUUUCUAUUGUGUUGCAACCAAUGGAAUAGGCUAAGAAUCACACUGUUUUGCCUCUGUCACCAAAGACUGAAAUGUUUACUUCAAAAGACCUUCACCUGCAGUUAUUAAUAUUUCAACAAAGUUCGUGGCCCAAAAAAGCUUGCAGUUGAAAAGGAAAGGAAAGAUAAAAAAGAUUCACUAUGUCAUAGAAGCUAGUUUUACUAGAACUGUGUAGAAACUUUUGUCAAGGUUAAAGAAAUCAUUUUGUAUAAACAGAACUAACAGUUAUUGCUCGAACUUUUUAACAGGGAUAUUUUAAACUGGUGAUUGUUAUCUUUAUAUGUUGUACAUUUUGAUACUAUUUCCAAUUAGAUUAUGCAAAAAUA